Molecule: long non-coding RNA, 4545 nt
Filed under: Triticum aestivum (bread wheat)
Lineage: Eukaryota; Viridiplantae; Streptophyta; Magnoliopsida; Poales; Poaceae
Description: long non-coding RNA (TAES_LNC015393)
Source: RNAcentral
UUUGGCCCUUCUGAUGGUUUGCGCGUCAUCCUUCCUUUCCCCUAAUCGGGCCGCCUGGCCAACCCGUUAACACACAAAAACGCUGGGGUAGCCCAAGAUCUUACCCAGAUUGGGGCGACUUGGAGCCGUAGCUUACUGCCCUGACUCUAACUAAACCCCAGCUGCAUACUUUCCCACACUAAAAAAAUUCCCCAUACUACAAUUUUCCCAUGUUGUGAAUAAAAACUGAAUUCAGAGAAAUAUCCUGCUGCUGUGUACACAUUUUACCUAGAAAAAAUGUACUGUCUAAGACUACAAAACAAAAACUGAAAAAAAAAGAACUUGACCAUACAUUUGCCGUAAGGAAGAAUUAGAUACCUCAAAAAUAAGACUGAAGAAGAAACAUCUUGUUGUUCCCCUAUGGGAAAAUGUAGAAAAAAGUCAAAAAUUAGGAUGAAGAAAAAACUCUGAAGACUGAUGCUACUUGUGCUGAAGACUGAUGAAAACGCAUACAAAACCUGACAGUAACUUCAAUAAAAAACAAUGAUGGGAACAGAGAUCUUGCCAGAAUAGCAUACGACAACAAUUAUCUUCGAAAAGUUGUUUCUUAAACUCCGCCCUCGUAAAACAACCACUCCUUGGCUGCUACAGCCGCUGGAAGCGACACAGGUGUCAGUAGGCUUAUUAGCGCAGACCCACAAAAAAUGAUCUUCCUCCGUGAGUUGUAUCUUUGAGCGUCAAAAGCAUGUAUCUGUUGUGAUGGGAUUCAACACCACUGACGCCCCAUUUGGUCCAUUUCCAGCGUGCAUCUGAUCUGUAAAAAAUGAAGUGAAGCAAUAAAUAUGAAGGCCAAAUUAGUAAGAUGACAAAAUGCAGAUAAACUGAAAACUGUAUGAACAAACUUGCUAACCUACCUGGGAUUUCUUGACAAACUAAGCAACUAGGAUGGACAGCUUUAUUCGAGAAGAUCGAACAAGGACUGAAGUAGCUGAAGGUCUGAAUACUCAUAAAUAAGAAAACAGUCUAGAUAAGCAGAACAAAUUUUUCGUGGUUGUAGGCUGUGGUGGACUUAGGUCUGAAACAAUGAAUACUAAAUUAAGACUGAACAGUGAAUACUAACUAACCUACCUAUGUGGUAACACACAAAACUGAACAAAAUGACACCUAACACUGAAACUAAUAACAUAACUAAAAAAUGACACUAACCCCUGAGAGUACUUAAAAUGACACUAGUGUGGGAGAAGUUGUUGAGUAAGUGUGGGACAACUUUGGCUCGGAGAUGUGAAAUAUAACCUACAGGUACAAAAAUAAAGGUAAGAAAAUGAUCAGGACUCAUUGGAAAAUGACAGAGUGAGUAAGCACUAGGGACUCAGACUGAUUGACUAAAAACUGAUAGACUAAAAAAGGAAAUGAAUGCAACAAGUAAUGACUAAAUGAGAAAAACAAAUCUAAGAAAAAGCUAAAGUUUAUAUAAUUCUAUCAGCUAAAAGGACUAAGUUUGUAUCUGAAGCAGGAAAAAACUGAAUUCAUACACAAACUAAAGAAGAAAUGAAAUGUUUAACUGAACAGGACAACUAUCAUGCUAUCAUAAAACAUACAUGGAGGUGUUGGUAAUAUCCACAUCAUAGCCUUGUAAAAAUGAGUGAUGAAUGAAAAAUGAAACAUAACAAGAACUAGACUGUAGUGAUAAAUGAAUAACUGACCAUGACAGUGAACUAGACUAUAGUGAUAAAUUUUUUUGAAACAGAACUAUAGUGAUAAAUUGAACAUAUUCAAAACUAAGUUACCACUCAGCUUUCAAAGUCCUCAGACAACCAAACCCCAAAAUUUAGACGCGAUGAGCGACGGUCAGCGCAGUCGGACCUGCAGAUUGGGUACGCCAUCCCCGUUACAUAUGUAGCAGAGAAAAAACUAUUUUUUUAGCAAAAAGAUGACUGAAAAACUAAGAACAGAGACUCACCAGAUAACUAAUUUAAACUACAGGAAUUAUAAACACAUAUCAAGUCUAACAAAUUUAAAAUGAAUGCCGAAAAUACAGGAAUAACAUCAUAAAGUGAAAAUAAUAAGCUGAAUGGAAACUAACUAGUUAGAAUAAUAAAUGACUUAACUUAAAACUGAUAGACUAGAACAAACACUGACCAAAUAACUGAAGAGAACUAAAAUGAGACACUUAAGAUACUAAACAAACACCGACCAAAUAACUAAUCACUUAAUAUACAGUUGAAGAGAACUAAAACUGAUACUUUAGAGUACUGAUGACUAAAAACUGAAAAUAAUCUAGCAAAAAAACCAGUGCAAAAAACUGAAAACCAAAAACUAAAAACUUAGGACUUACAGGAACAUAAGGUUCAAAACAGAAAUAAUCAUCUACUAAAAGACAAGACUCAUGAGAGAUAGGAGUGAAGAAAGAUGCAAAUGAUAACUAAAUAUGAUAAAAAUGAGGACUGAUACUAUUACCAAAACUAACAUAAGACUGAGAAGGCAAGCUUACAAACUGAGGAAGAAAAACACCAAUUGCUGGAACAAAAUUAUAGAAAGGUACUGAAAACGGAAGACUAGACUACAGAAACACUGAAAACAAAGAUUCUAAAGACACAGAAAACUGAAGAACUAGAGAUAGAGAGAAAAGAGGGCUGAAUAAACAAGACAAAAAAGGUGGUUGAAUAGUAAGGUGACUCAAGAAACACUGAAAAGUGAAGGAUUGAAGACAGAGAAAAGAAAUCUGAAGAAAUAAACAAUUACUAAAGACUGAAGAAAGAUGACUGAAAAUAUAUAUGAAAUAGUUACUGAUGACAGGAUGAAGAAGAGAUGUAAUGGGCAAGGUAUGCAAACAGAUGAAUGAAGCAAUUCCAACAGGACAAUAGGGACCCUAACCACUAUAUGGCGCAGAGUGGAGGUGACAGUUUGACUGUCGAGCUAUUGAAUCCUACUAUAGCCUGACAAUUUGUCUAACCUCCCUGAUUGGAUAAGUGAUUUUCAGGCACUGUAGUUAAAAAAAAUAUGAAGUGAAGUUUGCAGCAGUUGAAAUUCAUUUUAAACGAUAGCCAUUGCCAGAAGAACUAAACAAAAAAGUAGGCCCUUUCGCCUUUGAGACACAUCGAUCUUUCACAACUAGCGCGCAACCUAGCCGACCCGUCUCCUGGUAGAUGUUGAUUUCUUCGCGUGUGUUCAAAGAAACUAAUUUAGGGGUGCUCUGGUUUUUUUACUGUUAGGCUGACCCCUGAAAAAAUUGACUUCGAACACACCUUAAUUGGAGGCACUACAAUGAAAGAAAAAUCGCUGUCUACUGAAAAAUGAACGCCCAUGAACCUGCACUACAGCAAAAAAGAAACCUACACCGAAAAGCAACCAGUGUUCAUGCAGGAAAAAGGCCUAAACCUACAAAAAGCAUACUGAAAAAUUAUAAUAGCCAAUACAUAACAGGUAACAGGAAAAAUUCAGAUCUGUCUGUUUUAGCGUGAAUAAAUCACGCCAAAAAAUAACCGUGAGCUUGCUCACAAAAGUCGGGCGUGAGAAGCAAAACCAUCUCCAUAAUGAAGGAAAUAUUUAAGCUGAAUAAUGUACAGAACAUGGUAAAAAAAACUGAAUAAUCUAGUACCAAAAGCUAGCUCUCAUUCACUAAACUGAAAAAUGAUAAGUACAGAAAAUAUAGAUUGUGCGCAUGUAACAUGUUUUCAUCAUGGAAGAUGCUACCGAAGAAAAUAGGAUUCAGAACAUUCCUUCGUCCAUGCUUACAUCAACAGAAAGCAGACGAAAAUGCCGCCUGAACCAUUACUGAACAUUGCAUAGACCCUCCCACAAAAAAAUAAAAUCACCAGCAAAUGCCUAAAAAACUCAAAUACCUACUUCCACACAUGCAACACAUGUGCAGUUUUUAAAAGACUGCAGAGGAGCCGAACCGCAGAUCUACAUCCAACACUUCGUAGUCAACUUAAUGGAAUGUUUUGUUUAGUGGUGAAAUUGACACUCAACACUUCUUUGAACCGGAGAUCUAGAUCCAGAAAAACAACAAGCCGGACUUGGCGAUGAAAUUUGGGGAUUGACUGACACACACGCAUAGGUGGCUGCAAAAUAUUCAGGAUCGUUUCUCAUGAACCACUCAAAAUCGCAGAUGUGAACUAAGCUAUCGCAAAACGUUCCUACCCAAAAACCAGCUAAUCGAACAACCCCUGCGACAUGGCUCUAUGCCCGGCGACCACGACGAUGAACUGAAUCAAACACAGAAAGAGGCAGAUCAGAUAGAACAAACAAAAAAAAUGGACAAACCUAGGACAACAGGGAGACGGAAGUAUACCUUGCGCCCCACCGACGCCGGCAAAUACUACCUCCCCCAGCAUGGGUGCUUGUUGGCCGCGAGCACGACGGGGAGCUCCGCUGAGUUCCUCUCCAGCCCGCGGCCCUCUCUGUGACGCACGCCUCCAGCAAUCAAGCGCCACGCUCCAUCUCCGGUUGGCCGACCAACCGCUAAUCACCGGCGAGGAGGCCCCUUCCCUCCGCCGUCUCCGCCCGCCUCGGCCAACCCCUUCCAAUCCCCUCCCCGGCUAGGACAAAGGCCGCCGCCCUUCG